UUUCUUAUAGUAUAAUAGUAAAUACACGGGCUGCUAGCCCGAAACCCGAGGUUCGAUUCCCGGUAAAAUUA
RNAcentral lists this transfer RNA (71 nucleotides) under Niveomyces insectorum RCEF 264. RNAcentral describes it as "Sporothrix insectorum RCEF 264 tRNA". It matches the Rfam family "tRNA". Rfam says of the family: Transfer RNA (tRNA) molecules are approximately 80 nucleotides in length. Their secondary structure includes four short double-helical elements and three loops (D, anti-codon, and T loops). The record is from Rfam by way of RNAcentral. Lineage: Eukaryota; Fungi; Ascomycota; Sordariomycetes; Hypocreales; Cordycipitaceae.